RNAcentral lists this ribosomal RNA (560 nucleotides) under uncultured bacterium. RNAcentral's name for it is "bacterial SSU rRNA". It matches the Rfam family "Bacterial small subunit ribosomal RNA", at positions 338 to 916 of the family's 1533-position model. The record is from RNAcentral.
CCUACGGGAGGCAGCAGUGGGGAAUCUUGCGCAAUGGGCGAAAGCCUGACGCAGCCAUGCCGCGUGAAUGAUGAAGGUCUUAGGAUUGUAAAAUUCUUUCACCGGGGACGAUAAUGACGGUACCCGGAGAAGAAGCCCCGGCUAACUUCGUGCCAGCAGCCGCGGUAAUACGAAGGGGGCUAGCGUUGCUCGGAAUUACUGGGCGUAAAGGGAGCGUAGGCGGAUAGUUUAGUCAGAGGUGAAAGCCCAGGGCUCAACCUUGGAAUUGCCUUUGAUACUGGCUAUCUUGAGUACGGAAGAGGUAUGUGGAACUCCGAGUGUAGAGGUGAAAUUCGUAGAUAUUCGGAAGAACACCAGUGGCGAAGGCGACAUACUGGUCCGUUACUGACGCUGAGGCUCGAAAGCGUGGGGAGCAAACAGGAUUAGAUACCCUGGUAGUCCACGCUGUAAACGAUGAGUGCUAGUUGUCGGCAUGCAUGCAUGUCGGUGACGCAGCUAACGCAUUAAGCACUCCGCCUGGGGAGUACGGUCGCAAGAUUAAAACUUAAAGGAAUUGACGG